RNAcentral lists this ribosomal RNA (392 nucleotides) under uncultured bacterium. Its description in RNAcentral is "partial 16S ribosomal RNA". It matches the Rfam family "Bacterial small subunit ribosomal RNA", at positions 523 to 918 of the family's 1533-position model. The record is from RNAcentral.
AUACGGAGGAUGCAAGCGUUAUCCGGAUUUAUUGGGUUUAAGGGUGCGUAGGCGGUUUGCUAAGCGGGAGGUGAAAUGCCGGCGCUCAACGUCGGAAGUGCCUCCCGAACUGGUGGACUGGAAUGACUCUGCCGUGGGAGGAAUGUGUAGUGUAGCGGUGAAAUGCUUAGAGAUUACACAGAACACCGAUUGCGAAGGCAUCUCACGAAGGGUUGAUUGACGCUGAGGCACGAAAGCGUGGGGAUCAAACAGGAUUAGAUACCCUGGUAGUCCACGCAGUAAACGAUGAUGGCUAACCGCUGGUUUAUUCGGAUCAGUGGCCAAGCGAAAGCGAUAAGCCAUCCACCUGGGGAGUACGACCGCAAGGUUGAAACUCAAAGGAAUUGACGGGG